This 8734-nucleotide long non-coding RNA is filed under the name Homo sapiens (human). RNAcentral's name for it is "HSALNT0364222". Lineage: Eukaryota; Metazoa; Chordata; Mammalia; Primates; Hominidae. The record is from RNAcentral.
CUUACGGUACUUGUUGACUAUCGGUCUCGUGCCGGUAUUUAGCCUUAAAUGGAGUUUACCACCCGCUUUGGGCUGCAUUCCCAAGCAACCCGACUCCUGGAAGACCCGGGCCAAUUUGCAUCUUUUUAUAUUGUAUAUACCUUAAUAAAGUAUUGUAGCUAUUAUUAUUCUUUUUUUUUUUUUUUUGGCUCACUGCAACCUCUGCAUCCUGGGUUCAAGUGAUUCUCCUGCCUCAGCCUCCUGAGUAGCUGGGAUUACAGGUGCCCUCCACCAUGCCUGGCUAAUUUUUGUAUUUUUAGUAGAGACAGGGUUUCACCAUGUUGGCCAGGCUGGUCUUGAACUCCUGACCUCAAGUGAUCUACCUGCCUUGGCAUCCCAAAGUUCUGGGAUUAUAGGUGUGAGCCACCACGCCUGGCCUAUUAUUCUUAAUAGAUUGUCUUUUAACCUUCAUACUAAAGUUAUAAGUGAUUUACAUAUCACCAUUGCAGUUAGAGUAUUCUGGAUUUGAUUGUCUGCUUUCUUUUACCAUUGAGUUUUAUGCUUUUAGUUGUUUUUGCGUUACUUAUUAAUUAGCAUCCUUUUCUUUUAGGUUGAAUACUCCCUCUAGCAUCUCUUGUAAGAUAGGGCUGUUGGUGAUAAACUCCCUUAGCUUUUGUUUGUCUGUGAAAGUCUUUAUUUCUCUUUCAUUUCUGAAAAACAGCUUUGCUAGAUACAGUAUUCUUAGUUGGCACAUUUUUUAAAAAAAAUUUUUUACACUUCAGCACUUUGAAUACAUCAUCUCACUCUCUCUUGGCCUGUAACGUCCCUGCUGAGAAAUUUGUUGCUAGCCUUAUUGGAACUUAUUCAUAUAUGGUUUGCUUAUUUUCUCUCACUAAUAAGGAUCCUCGUGCUAAUUUUCUCUUGCUAAUAGGAUCCUCUCUUUGUCCUUGAUUUUUGACAUAUUGUCAUUUUGUAGUCUUGUUUGGGUUGAAUCUGACUGGAGGCCUGUAUCUGUUCCUCUACUUGGAUAUUUAUAUCUUUCUCCAAAUUUGAAAAGUUUUCUGCUACGCUUUGUCUUUCUCUUUCUUUUCUCCUUUAUGAAAUCUUAUAUAUCAGAGAGAUAUAUGUAUAUUUUCCUAUAUAUCAGAUAUCUUAUAUAGCAGAUAUAUAUCAAAUAUUUCCUGGGUCCACAAAGGCUAUCAUGGAACCUGGGUCAGAAGGGGUGGUCUUGGAGCCUUAGUCUGUAAGGUCUAGACUGGGACUGGGGGUGGACCAUGGGUCUGCUGGAACAGGUCUGGACUCUGGGUUUUCUAGAGUCUGGGCCACUGGGACCAGCCUGGAGCCUGGGGUUAGCCUGAUGCUGGGGUCCAUGUGGAGCCUGGGUCUGUGGGCACUGGUUUGGAGCUUAGGAUCACAAGUACUUGCCUGAUACCUGGGACCAUUAGGCUGGCCUGGAGCCUGGGAUCUUUGGGUCUGGAGCCUGUGCCUGCUGGUAUUGCCUUAGAGGCACAGGUCUAGGACCUGGCCUAGGGAUUGGAUCCAUAAAGCCUAGCCUGGGUCUUGGGACAAGGAACCAGAUUGAGUAGUAGGUACACAGAGGUGGUCCUAGAGCCUGGGUUCGUGGGGACUGGUUCUUCUGGGGUCUCCUGGACUCUGGGUUACUGUAGCAUCAUUGGACCAUAGGAUCUGGCCUUGAGCAUGGGACCAUGGGGACUGGCCUUGCACUGGGAAGGCCUGGAGCUUAGGUCUUGGUGCCUGCCUGCUGUUUAAGGCCAGGGGAGCCAAGCUGGCAUUGGGGUGGGAUAGAAGCCUGGGGCCAUAGGAGCUAGCUUGGACUGGGUGGAGCCUGGAUCCUAUAUUCACAGAGGUCUUCCUGGAGGCAAGGUCCAUGGGUUCUGGCCUGGUCAUUAAGGCUGCAGGAGUUGGCCUGAUGGUCAAGUGGGCCUGAAGCUUGGGACUUUGGCAUCCAGCUUGGUGCUAGGGGUGGUCUGCAGCCUGGGGCCACAGGGGCUGGCCUGGCCUUGGGGUUGGUCUGGAGCCUGAUUCUGCAGGUCAUGUCUUCUGCUGGGUCUGAUCUGGAGCUUGGGGCCUCUGGGCUUAGCCUUGUGCUGUGGCAGGCUUGGAGCUCAAAUUUGCUCUGUAGACCUGGACCCUGGGGCUGCAGGAUCCUAUAUAGUGUUGGGGCAGGUUUGGAAGCUCAGUCUGCGGGUAGCAGCCAGGAGUCUGGGGCUGCAGGGGGCUGGUCUGGCACUGGACAAGCCUGGAGUCUCCAUCCACAGUGGCUGGCCUGGGGGCUGGGUCCAUAGGUUCUGGCCCAAUGACUAGGACUAUGUGGGUUUGGCCUGGUACUGGGGCAGGCCUGAAGCCUGUGGCUGUGAGGGCUAGCCUGAUGCUGGGGGCAGUCUACAGACUGGGGCCACUGGGGUCAGCCUGGUCAUGGGGCAGCCUGGAUACUUAAUUUGCUAUACAGACCUGGAGUUUGGGGCUGUUGGGGGUCUUCCUGGUGCUAGGCUUUAUUGGGGGUGGGCCUAGCUUUGGAAUCUGAGGCAAAGUCUUGUACUCACUGCCCUCUCCUUCUCUCAAGUGGAAGGUAUCUCUCCCUGUGCUGCCUGGAGUUGGGUGAAAUGGGUAAUGUAAAGCUGUUCUUUCUACCCUCUUCCAUGCAUGUUUUCUUAUUUUGGUGCUGUACCCAGGUGCUGUAAUCUCUUGGUUUCCUUACCUAUUGUGAAAGUAUUUUUGUGCAUGGACAAUUGUUCAAAUUGAUGUUUCUGUGGGAGAGACAAGCAUUAGAGAGCCCUAUUCUGCCAUCUUGCUGAUACUCAAUAACACUUUUAUCUUAAUUUCUACUGUACUGAUCAAAUACCAUUCUACCCGUACAGGUGCCAUUUGAGCACGUUAUGUGUAGAUACCGAACAUAAACACAAACCUUUCCAGAAGGAAACUGAAUGGGGAAUUUACAAAUGAGAAAACUGAAGUUUAUAUGAUUUUACAUAUGAAGAAAGUGAGGGAAUUUACAAAUGAGAAAACUGAAGUUUAUAUGAUUUUACAUAUGAAGAAAGUGAGGCUGAGAUAAGUUGAAUAAGUGACUUGCUAAACCCACCCAGCCAGCGAGGCAAAACCAGGAUUUCAUUACAGAUUGGAGUAAAUGUAGUCUCUUUGUGCUACACCAUCCUGUUUUGCCUAUUUUGAAAGAGUUUUACUUAAAUGUGCAUGUGGUAUUUUUUUUGCAUGUGUGCAGGAUAGUUUAAACACUAUUGAAACAUGACAUUUAGUUUUUUUUCCUGUGUGCAGCUGAAAAAGACAGAACCUUAAAGGCUCCAGAAUAGAUUCUUUUUAUUUAAUUGUCACUGAAUUUACAGUUCACUUGUUUUUUAAUUGACUUGUGUGUGCUUUUGGUAAGAGUACUUAUUUCUUGGAGCCUAAUUAAGAAUUUAUAUUAUUGAAUGUUCUGGUGGAAAAAUAGUUAACAUUUGGGAAUUUAUUUAUUGGUUUAAAAAUAGUUAAGUGUGCAUAUGCUCUCAUUACACAUGUAUAUCCAUAAACAAUAUAUGUUUUAUUUUGCAUAUUUUAAGUUGCAUAUAAAUGUUAUGAUGUUGCAUUUUUUUGCAGCUCGCCUUUUUUUGUUCAAUAUCACAUCUAUGAGAUUCAUCCUUAUGGAUACUUGUAGCUCCUGUUCACUUUUUUUUUCUUGCUUCAUGGUAUAUCAUUAUAAAGACAUUCCAGAAUGUACUUGUGUUUUCUCCUGUUGAUGGACAAUUAGGAUAUUUCCAUAUUUUGUUUAUCAUAAUGUAGCUAGAAUAUUUUGUAACUGUUUUUGAGUCACAUUUGCCAGUGUUUCUCUAGACUAAAUACAUAGUUGUGGAAUUACUGGAUUACAAUGUCUAUCUUCAGGUUUACUGCAUGUUCUCUAAAGUGAUUGUGCCGAUUUAUACUUCCAUCAGCAAAGUAUGAGAUUUCUUUUUCUCCCCAUUCCUUGCCAAUACUUGGUGUUACCAGACUGAAAAAUUAUUUGCCAAUUUUUUAAGUCUUAUGGGCUGUAUUGUGUCCCCUCCCCCACAAAAUUCAUGUGUUGAAGUCCUACCCCUAGUACCUCAGAACGUAAUGGUAUUUUGGAGAUAGGGUCUUUAAAAGAGGUAAUUAAAUUAAAAUGAGGUCUUUAGGGUGGGCCACAAUCCAGUAUGAUUGGUAUUCUUAUAAGAAGGAGAAAUUUGAACAAAGAUUUGAACAGAAGACAAUGUGAAGACAUUGGGAGAAGACAGCCAUCUACAAGCCAAGGAGAGAGGCUUGGCACAGAUCCUUUCCUCACAACUCUCAGGAGAAACCAACACUACUGAUACCUUGAUCUCAGAUUUCUAAGCUCCAGAACUGUGAGAAUAGACAUUACUGUUGUUUAAGCUACCCAGGUACUUAAUUACUGUAGUUCUCGCAAACCAAUUCAAUGAAUAUGAAAAGCGAUCUCAUUUUGGUUUUAAUUUGCAUUUUCCUGAUAAGUAGAGAGGUUGAGCAUCAUUUCAAAAGUUCAUAAUGAAUCCGUUUUCUAUUUUUUAUACUGAUUCAUAAGUGUUUAUAUUAUUUUAAAGUAAUGUUUUUAUGGAUACUGUUAUAGACUUAAUGUUUAUGUCUUCCCAAAAUUCACAUGUUGAAACUUAAUCUCCAAUAUGACGGUAUUUGGAGGCCUUUUGGAGGUGAUAGGGUGGAACCCUCAUGAAUGAGAUUUGUGCCUUUAGGAAAGAGGUCCUAGAGAGCUCCAUUGCCCUUUUUGCCAUUUGAGGACAUAGGGAAAAGACAGCUGUCUUCUAAGAAGUAAGCGGGCCCUCAUGAGACAGUGAAUCUGCCUUUGCCAUGAUAUUGGACUUCUCAGUCUCCAGAACUGUGAGAAGUAAAUGUUUAUUGUUCAUAAGUCAGAGUCUUUGAUAUUUUGGUAUAGUAGCCCAAAUGGACUAAGACAAAUGUACUAGUUAAAUAUUAUUGAUGCUGACUCCUUUGUUGAAUGUAUAAAUUCCAGUCUUUUAUGAUUGUUUUCUUUUAAAUGAUGGUUUUUGAUGCAGAAAAUUAAAAAUCUCAUGUAGUCAGCUUAAGAAAUCUUUUUCUUCAUUGUUUAUGCUUUCUAUAUCUUGUUUACAAAGUUUUUCUGCUCAAAGACCAUAAGGGUAACAUUUUUAUGUUUUCUUCUAAGAAUCUUAAAAUUUUGCUUUCAAAAUUUAGGUCUUAAACCUAUUUGGCAUUUGUUUUUAUGCAUUAAGGAUUCACAAUUUUUGUUGACUUAUUUAAUUGCUUAAACAACCAAGCACCAAUUAUUUGUUACAUAUACUGUGUUCAGAGCAAUAUAUAGAAUGCUACAGGAGAUAAUUCCUUCCCUAAAAGAGAGAGGUAGAACCACCAUCAUAACAGGACUGUGCCCUACUUACAUAUUAUUAUGAAAUCCUAACAACAAUGGGAGGCAGUUGUUAAUUAUCUGUAUUUUACAAAUAAGCAAACUCAGCCUCAGAGUAGUGAAAUAAAUUGUUCAAGGUCACAUAAUUAGCAAGUAGUAGAAUUGAGAUUUGAGCUUUGGUCUUUCUGACAAAUUUCACAUUGUAGAUAAAGCAAAGAUAAUUGAGAAAUUUAGUAAUCAAGAAUGAUAACAUAGUAGGUUCAGAAAUUUUUUUUAUGAAUAAAUAUACUGUGUGUUGGCACAAGACAGUCCUAUAAAGAUUGUCAUCUGAGGGCUUGGAGCAGAGAAAGGGAAGAGGCCACUUAAUUCUAUUAGAAUAAUUACACUCUAUUGAAAAUAUUUGGGUCCAGGUGCAGUGGCUCAUGCUUGUCAUCUCACCAUUUUAAAAGGUUGAGGUGGGAGGACAGCUUGAGGCCAGGAAUUCAAGACCAGCCUGGGCAACAUAGUGAGACCCUCUCUCUACAAAAUAAAUAAAUAAAUAAAUAAAAUAAGUUAGUAGGGCAUGGUGACAAAGCCUUUAGUCUUAGUUCCUUGGGAAGCUGAGGCAUUAGGAUUGCUUGAGCCCAGGAGUUUGAGGCUGCAGUGAGCUAUGAUCCCAUCACUGCACUCCAGCCUAGGUGACAGAACGAAAGCUGUCUCUUAAAAAAAAAAAAGUGCUAUUGUUCCACUCAGCCCUCCCAAUACCCAACUUCUCCAAGCCAGAGAAACUGUUAGUUUAAAUAUUUCUACCUGUCUUAAUGUGUGCUAAGAACCUUGUGGACAGCAAAUGAAUAAGAAAUAUUUUUGAAAGAACAAAAGAAACGCUAUGAAUACAUUAUUAAAUUAGUGCUAGAGGUAGAUUCAAAAAUACUUUCUAUUGUCCUUAUGAUGUAAUCCUGUCAAGGCUCAUGAGAUAGUUUGAAAUAUCUUCCAUGUUACUCUUUUUUGGCACUCUGAUAGUGUUAAAUGACAGAAAUAGAAUAAUUUGGAGCUUUUCUCAUAGCAUAGAGGUUAUUUGUGAAAAUGGUAUGUUUUAGGUAGAGGCUAUCAGCCCUGAUUAUACAUACCCCUACCUAAAGAACAUACAGCAAUUUAACACAAGUAACUCAGAAACACUAGCCAGAAAAAAGAAAUGGUGGCAAAGAUUAGAUUAGUAAAUGUAGAAUAACUGUUACCACUAUUUAUUCUCUAAUGUCUGUAAUCUUCCGUAGUAGUAGAAUACAUGGUUAUUACCUAUGGUCAAGUUCAUUGACCAUUUCUUUUCUGGUUUUUGUUUUUUGUGUCUCAUUUAAGAAAUCCUUCUCUACCUUCAAGUCACAAACAUGUUCUACUAUAGUAAGUUUUGCUUUUCAUACCAAGGUCUUAAGUUCAUAUUGAAUUAAUUUUGUAUACAUACGAGGUGUUGGUGUGAUUUUAUAUUUUAUCAUAAAAAUAGCCAGCUAUCUAGAAACAUGCAUGCAUUUUUUCUUGUUUGUGUCUUUAAAUAGGAUGUUCAACAUUUUAUUAUGAAGUACAGUUGUGUGCUCCAUAAUGACGUUUUGGUGAACAGCCGACUACAUGUAUGAUUAUGGUCCCAUAUGAUUAUAAUGGAGCUGAAAACUUCCUAUCAACUAGUGCAUUUGUAGCCUUCCUAAAGUUGUAGAGCAGUGCAUUACUCUUGUCAUUGUAUUGAUGCUGGUGUAAACAACCUAUUGCACUGCCAGUCAUUUAAAAGUAUAGCACAUAAAAUUAUGUACAGUACAUAAUACUUGAUAAAUAAUACAUGUCACUGGUUUAGGUAUUUACCAUACUUUUUAUUAUUAUUUUAGAGUGUACUCUUUCCACUUAUUAAAAAAAAAGUUAACUGAACAACAGCCUCAGACAGGUCCUUCAGGAGGUAUUCUAGAAGAAGGCAUUGUUAAUCAUAGUAGAUAACAGAUCCAUGUAUGUUAUUGUCCCUGAAGAGCUUUAAUUGGGACAAGAUGUGCAGGUGGCAGACUAUGAUACUGAUAUUCCUGACCUCAUGUAGGCCUAUGUUAGUGUGUGUUCCUGUGUUUCAGUUUUUAACAAAAAAGUUUAAAAUGUAAAAAAUUAAAAAUAGAAAAAAUCUCAUAAAAUAAGGAUAUAAAGAAAGAAAAGAUUUUUGUAUUGCUCUAUAAUGUGUGUUUGUGUUUUAAGCUAAAAUGUAACAACAAAAGAGGCAAAAAGUAAAAAAAUUAAAAGAUGUGUAAAGUAGAAAAGUUACAGUAAGCUAAGUUUAAUUUAUUAUUGUAAAAUAAAAUAAAUUUAAUGUAGCGUAAGUGUACAGUGUUUAUAAAGUCUACAGUAGUGUAGAGUAAUGUCUUAGGCCUUCACAUUUACUCACCACUCCUUUACUGACUCACCCAGAGCAACUUCCAGACUUGACUUGUAAGCCCCAUUCAUGGUAAGUGCCUAUACAGAAGUAUCGUUUAAAAAUCUUUCAUAUAUUUACUGUACCUUUUCCUUUUCUAUGUUUAGAUACACAAAUACCAUUGUGUUACAGUUGCUUACAGUAUUCAGUACAGCAACAUGCUGUACAGGUUUGUAGCCUAGGAGCGAUAGGCUAUACCAUGUAGCCUAAGUGUGUAGUAGGGUGUACCAUCUAGGUUUGUGUAAGUACACUCUAUUGUGUUAACAAAAUGGCAAAAUUGCCCAACGAUAUGUUUCUCAGAACAUAUCCCUGUCAUUAAACAAUGCAUAACUAUAGAUUGUUUGUUAGUAGAUACUUUCUUAGAUCUUUGGAUAUUACGUCUAUUCGUAGUUUGCUAAGAUUUCCCCCUAAAAAUAGCAACUGGGACUUGAGAAAGAACAUAUGUUGUAGUUAAGAGCAUGGAUGUUGAAAUCAGUCUGAUUUCAAAUCCUGGACUUGCCACUAGUAAGCUGGAUGACAUUGAGCUUCUCUCUGCCACAGCUUUGUUAUUUGUUAUUGCCUAUUUUGUUAGUCAAUGACAAUGCCUAAUAAGAAAAUAAAAUGAAAAUAAAAAUACAUCAGACGUUGUUGUAAAGAAUAAAUAAAUUUAUAGAUGCAGAACUUUGAACUAUGGAACACAGCCAGCAGUCUUUAUUAUUAUCUAAUAGUAUUCUCUUUUGAGAUAAUUUUGUUAGUUUCUCUUUACUCUGUUGAUUGGAAAAAUUACAGCAAUAGAGUUUAUAUUAGCAAAGCAUCCUUGCUUUCAUAGUUUUAUGUGGUAUAAUUAAAAAUUACAUUGCUAGAAAAUAUUAUUUUAUAGAGUUUUGACACAUAAAUAAAAUUGGCAUAUAAUGUUUAUUUUUUGUACUCUGGUUGAUUUUGGUUUCAAGGUUAUAUUAGGAUAAUACAUGGGUUAGAAUUUAAUUUUUUUU